AAAGCUUUGUUAUGAAGAAAGUUCUAGGUGUAUUUAAUAAUGAUCCGGCUUUCUCCCCUGAUUCUGCUAAAGUGAGCUCUGAGGAACAUUUCACUGUGAGAAUAUAAUGGAGUUCUUCUUGAUAAAUCCGACAAAAUUGUGUGGCUUCCUCGCAAAACUGCAGGGCCAGGGAAUUUCUUAUUCUCAUCCUAGUUCAAACUCUACCUGCAGAAGUUAAUCAAAUUUUGCAUUUUAGGUUUCUGUUCAAUCCACAGCUUCUUCUCCAGGUUUUUCUUGCUGAAAGAAUGUGAGUGAUGACUUCAAAAAUUUUUACACACGGACCUGAAACUAUUCUCUACAGACGGUGCAGCCUAAUAUCUCCCAGACUAGCACUUCCCAUGGCCCUGCACUUGGGGCCUCACUGCCUGGUAGAAAUGAAG
Molecule: long non-coding RNA, 419 nt
Filed under: Homo sapiens (human)
Lineage: Eukaryota; Metazoa; Chordata; Mammalia; Primates; Hominidae
Description: HSALNT0205012
Source: RNAcentral